Ctenopharyngodon idella (grass carp) is the source of this 7127-nucleotide RNA transcript. It is a transcript of the gene named APC11 anaphase promoting complex subunit 11 homolog (yeast), with no coding region annotated. The record is from RefSeq and is a predicted model, not a curated record. NCBI's taxonomy places the organism in Eukaryota, Metazoa, Chordata, Actinopteri, Cypriniformes, Xenocyprididae. The transcript is spliced from 5 exons.
UUACAUUAAAAUCUAAAACUGAUUGUUCCGUUAUCACAUAAUAUGUUAGUCUUGUUUUUAUUCUUUAAGUAAUCCUUUGUUUUAUUUGGCCAUGGUCCCUUUAAGAAUCCUGGGUUUCAGUAAGGAGUCAUGUGACCAUUAAUCAGGAAGUAGUCAAUCAUGGCACAGAGAGCAGUAUGUUUAUUGUAUCUGAGCUAAUCCUGUGACAUCUGCAUACAUCUUAUGCCCUUUGUAGCAUCGUGGUUUCACCUUUCCAUUGCAACGUCAAUAAACCUGUGGACAAGGAGUGAACUGUCUUCAGAGUCUUGAUGUUAUGGAAGAGUUUACCUGGCUGUUAGGUUAUAUACAGAACAUAUACUGAGGACAGCACAGUGAAACCACGACUUUUAAAAGGCAAGAUAACGCAAUGCAGGCCGACAGAUUACGAUAAAAGCAUUGUCACACACAGCCAGUGGACAACUAUCAGACUAUAGCUGUGUGGAGAGAUACACCACAAGACUGUGCCAUGGCAACAGAAACAUCUUCAUUAAAGACACGCUCUCGUGCUUCAAGUGCAUCGUCAACUGGGUCAGCAGCAGCUAAGGCGAGAGCGAGAGCAGAGGCAGCAAAAGCACGUCUUGCCUUUGUCGAAGAGGAAGUUAAUCUGAAGCUACAAAAAGCCAAGCUGGAGGCAUCUAUGGAAAUGCUUAAACAUAAGAAAGAAACAGCUGCAGCCAUUGCCGAAGCAGAGGUGCUUGAAGCUGCUUUUGAUGAAAAUAUAGAGAAACACAGUUGCAGACUAAGUUUAAAUUCUGCCCCCUUGGAAACCACACAACGCACUGAACAAUAUGUUAUUGACCAAACCAAAGUACGAGAGACAGAACUUCAGCUGUGUGGUGAUGACAUCCCCCAAAAAACAGAACCAAGCCCAAGCUACAGCAUUUCAGCUUCACAUCUUAAACCUGAAGCCAAACCUUUCCUUGCACACCAAACCAGUGCUGCUUUCCAACCACCUCACAUUACUGCAAAACAACCAUGCAUCUAUGAAAAUGAACACGCUCGUGAGUCAUGUGAAGUUAGAUUCGAGAGCAACCAUGCUACUCCUGUGCAACACUUCAGACAGCAAAGUAACAGUGGUCAUCCUACUCCUCUAUCCUACCCCAUAUCCCCAAACUCAAAUCAUGGCAGCUCAAACAUAAAUGACUUUGUAAGAUAUCUUGCUCGUCGUGAGCUUGUGGCAACAGGCUUACUUCAGUUUAAUGAUAAACCUCAGAACUACAGAGCCUGGAAACGUUCUUUUCAGACUGCAACUACUGAUUUAAACCUGGCACCGAGUGAAGAGAUGGAUCUCCUGCUGAAGUGGCUUGGCAAGGAGUCAGCAGAGCAUGUGGAACAGAUAAGGGCAAUACAUAUCAACAAUCCACAAGCAGGACUGGCAAUGGCAUGGGACAGACUUGAACAAACUUAUGGCUCUACAGAAGUGAUAGAAGAUGCUUUGUUCAAACGAAUUGACACCUUUCCAAAAAUAGCAAAUCGAGAUUAUCCUAAAUUGACAAAGUUGAGUGAUCUUCUAAUGGAGCUUCAGUCCGCUAAGGCCGAAGGAGACUUGCCUGGCCACGCUUUCUUAGACACGGCAAGAGGCGUCAAUCCAAUAGUACAGAAGCUGCCGUUUCGUCUGCAAGAAAAGUGGGCAUCAGUUGGUGCAGCCUACAAGCAACAAAACCAUGUUCCCUAUCCUCCCUUUGCCUACUUCGUAGACUUUGUUAGUCAGGAGGCUAGAAUUGGGAAUGAUCCAAGUUUUAACUUUAUCUCUCAUAUAGACAUGGCUCCCAAGAUGGAGAAGACAGCUUGGAAGACCAGUAAACAACGAGAAAUCUCUGUACACAAGACAACGGUAUCUUCCAGAGUUCCCAUUGAUACUGGUGAGCCCUCCCAAAACUCUGACGACUGCGAUAAACUGUGUCCCAUUCAUAGAAAACCACAACCUCUGCGUAAAUGCCGUGCAUUCAGGGAAAGGUCCAUUGAAGCCCGCAAAGCAAUUUUAAAAGAGAAUAAUGUGUGCUUUAAAUGCUGCUCUUCGGCGUCGCAUAUAGCAAAGAACUGCAAGAUUAAAGUCCGGUGUUCUGAAUGUAAGAGUGAAAGGCAUCACACAGCGCUCCACCCUGGACCCGCGCCCUGGAUAGAAGUAGACGCUGCUCCUGAGCACGGCGGGGAGGGGGAGGAAGUCUCACCUCAAUCUCGAGUUACCAGCAAAUGCACAGAAGUCUGUGGGGAAGAUCAGACAGACCGAUCUUGCUCUAAAAUAUGCCUUGUAAAAGUAUUUCCAGCUGGCCACAGAGACAAAGCAGUAAAAGUCUAUGCAAUCUUGGACGAACAGAGCAACAGGUCACUAGUUCACUCACAGUUCUUUGAAGUGUUCAGUGACCAAAGUCCAAGUGCUCCUUACACAUUAAGAACAUGUGCGGGAGUAAAGGAGUCAGCUGGAAGAAGGGCUAGCAGCUAUGAAGUGGAAUCUCUGGAUGGAACUGUCCGCAUCCCAUUACCAAGCCUUAUAGAAUGUAACGACAUUCCCAAUAACAGAGACGAGAUUCCAACUCCUGAUGUGGCUCGCCGUCAUGCACACUUAAAGUCUGUGGCACACCUCAUUCCAGAACAGGACCCACAAGCCCCAAUUAUGCUUCUCUUAGGUCGGGACAUCAUAAGAGUUCAUAAGGUCCGUAAACAGGUGAAUGGCUCACACAACCUACCCUAUGCACAGAAGUUGGAUUUGGGAUGGGUCAUUGUCGGCAAUGUAUGUCUGGGUAAUGUCCACAAACCACAAACAAUCAGGAACUUUCACACAAACAUCACAGAGCCAAAACGCCCAACUCUCUUUAGUCCAUGUCCUAACGUCUUCCAUGUUAAAGAAAAAUACAGGGACAUCCAACUAACUGACUACCCCUCAGCAUAUUCUGUGGAUGAGUAUAUCUGUGAUGCUGACCACCUGGGAUGCACUGUGUUUAAGCGAACCAAAGAUGACAACCAGGUGGCUCCUUCGAUUCAGGAUGCCUCUUUCAUGAAAAUCAUGGAGGAAGGUCUACAAAAAGAUUCAAACAACAGUUGGGUAGCACCAUUACCCUUUAAGAAUCCACGUCCACGCCUUCCCAACAACAGGCCGCAAGCACUGAAACGUCUUUUGUCUCUCAAACGCAACUUUGAAAGGAAGCCUGAAAUGAGAGACCAUUUCCUCAGCUUCAUGGACAAGACGUUUAAAAACGGCCAUGCUGAGUUGGCCCCUCCUCUGAGCGAGAAAGAAGAGCAAUGGUACCUGCCAACAUUCGGAGUGUACCAUCCGAAGAAACCUAAGCAAAUCAGAGUAGUGUUUGACUCCAGUGCCAAACACAAUGGUGUAUCACUUAAUGAUGUGCUUUUAACUGGGCCUGACCUUAACAACACACUGCUGGGAGUAUUGAUCCGCUUCAGGAAAGAAGCCAUUGCCUUCACAGCAGACAUAGAACAGAUGUUCUAUUGUUUUUUGGUAAGGGAAGAAGACAGGAACUUUCUACGUUUUCUUUGGUUCCAAGACAAUGACCUUUCCAAAGACAUUGUGGAUUAUCGCAUGAGGGUCCAUGUCUUCGGUAAUAGCCCCUCACCUGCGGUGGCUAUUCAUUGCCUGCACCAGUCUGUUCAGAUCAGCGAGUUCCAUGUCGACCCUGAUGUCAAGCAUUUUGUGAUGCGCGACUUCUAUGUAGAUGAUGGCCUGAAGUCCCUGCCUACAGUUGAAGCUGCUAUCAGUUUGCUGAAAAAGACUCAGGACGUUCUCUCCAAAUCCAAUCUGAGGCUACAUAAGAUUGCAGCAAACAACAAAGAGGUCAUGGAAGCUUUCCCAUCCAGAGAUCAUGCAAGUGACCUGAAAGAUCUAGACUUUGAGGCAGACGCACUGCCAAUGCAACGUAGUCUUGGACUCAAUUGGAACCUUCAUACCGACUGUUUCCUCUUCAGUGUCUGUGAUGAGAUAAAACCUUAUACCCGGCGAGGUGUUUUAUCAACUAUCAACAGCCUCUAUGAUCCUCUUGGGUUUGUAGCACCGGUCACAAUUCAAGGCAAGGCUAUUCUGAGAGAACUCACUACUGAGAGUGGCGACUGGGAUGCUCCAUUACCACAAGAAAUGGAGGAAGCUUGGACGUCAUGGAGAGCUUCUUUGACAGAGCUAUCCAGUCUUUCCAUCCCCAGGCCUUAUACUGAGACUUCACCAUCAACGGCUGUCAGAAGGGAGCUUUGUGUCUUUUCUGAUGCAUCGACCAAAGCUAUUGCUGCAGUGGCAUAUUUAAAAGUCACAGAUGCUGCAGGAAAUAAUCACAUUGGUUUUGUGAUGGGGAAAGCCAAACUUACCCCCCGCCCUGAGCACACAGUACCAAGACUAGAACUUUGCGCUGCAGUGCUGGCCGUUGAGUUAGGAGACUUAAUCUCAGCAGAACUGGACCUUAAGCUUGAUGCUGUAACCUACUACUCAGACAGUAAGGUGGUUCUGGGGUACAUUUGUAAUGAAACCAGGCGUUUUUAUGUUUAUGUUAGUAACCGGGUACAACGUAUCCGAAGGUCCUCCAAUCCUGACCAAUGGCGCUAUGUGCCAACAGACCAAAACCCCUCAGAUCAUGCGACACGGUCUGUUCCUGCAGCCCACUUAAAAAACACCAAUUGGCUAAGUGGACCCACAUUUCUGCUCAUGCCAGAACCAGGUACCUCUGAGAGCACUUACAACCUUGUUGAUCCAAGUUCAGAUCCAGAUGUACGGCCUCUAGUAUCCACUUUAAGCACUACAACUUCAUCCAAGCAGCUUGGUUCCCAACGAUUUGCCAAGUUUUCAUCUUGGAAGUCAUUAACAGGUGCUAUUACACGCCUUAUUCAUGUAGCCCAUCUUUUCAACAAAGCUGCAAAGAAAAACAGUUCCUGUAAGGGCUGGCAUUACUGCAAGGCAGAAUUCACAGUGGAGGAAUCCAAUAAAGCUUCAGCCAUCAUCAUCAAAGUGGUGCAAGAAGAGGUUUACAGUCAAGAGAUCAAAUGUAUCCAAAAGCAAGAGAAGAUUCCAAAAAGUAGUCCUCUUCACACUCUGGACCCAUUCAUUGAUGCACAAGGUCUGUUGAGAGUCGGAGGCCGUCUCCACCAUUCAGGCCUUAAUCAGAGUGAGAAGUCUCCUUUGAUAAUUCCUGGCAAGAAUCACAUUGCAGCUUUGCUCAUUAGACACCACCAUGAGCAUAUCCACCACCAAGGCCAUCACUUUACUGAAGGAGCAGUCCGUUCAGCCGGCUUUUGGAUAGUUGGUGGGAAACGAAAGGUGAGCAGCAUCAUCCAUCAGUGUGUAACUUGCAGACGGCUUAGAGCUCCACUCAGUAUCCAGAAAAUGUCCAGCCUUCCAGCAGAUCGCUUCUCAACAGACCCUCCCUUUACCAGUGUUGGACUGGAUGUAUUUGGCCCUUGGAGUGUCGCCUCAUGAAGGACAAGAGGAGGGUUUUCACACAGUAAGAGGUGGGCUGUCAUUUUUACAUGUAUGAGCAUAAGAGCUGUUCAUAUUGAAGUUAUAGAGUCCCUCAACACAUCCAGCUUCAUCAAUGCUCUUAGACGUUUUCUUGCAGUGCGUGGACCUGUAAAACACAUUCGUUCAGACCGUGGCACAAACUUUGUUGGUGCAUGCAAGGACUUAAAAAUACCAUCAAACAUUGACAGCAAAACUGUGAAGACGUAUCUGGCAGACCGAGGUUGCACUUGGAGUUUUAAUCCUCCACACGCUUCCCAUUUUGGUGGAACAUGGGAAAGAAUGAUUGGGAUUGCAAGAAGAAUUCUUGACUCCAUGUUCCUCCAGCUGAAAGACAAACUUACCCACGAAGUGCUGGUGACAUUCAUGGCAGAGGUAGCAGCCAUUAUCAAUGCCAGGCCUCUUGUUCCCGUGACAACGGACCCUGAUGAAUCAUUUAUACUCACCCCAGCGGCUCUCCUCACACAAAAAGUGAAUGUUGUUGCUGCACCUGCAGGCGAGUUUGGAGUUGCAGACCUCUACAAGUGCCAGUGGCGGCAAGUUCAACACCUUUCCAACACAUUCUGGGACAGAUGGCGAAAGCAAUACCUACCAACCCUACAGGCACGCAAGAAAUGGCAGUCUGCUCAUCCAAACGUUAGACCAGGAAGUGUUGUUCUCCUCAAGAAUAGCCAAGUACCACGAAAUGAAUGGCCUCUUGGACUGGUAACUCAGACCUUUCCUAGCCAAGAUGGAAAUGUGCGCCAGGUUGAGGUCAAGGUCAUUAAACCAGGAGGUUCUACGCUUUUUCUUAGACCUAUUACAGAGGUAGUGCUCCUACUUUCCCCAAAGUCCAAAGUAGAUGUAUCAUCAUAGAGUUUGUUGAGGUGAUGUGUAAGCACAUCAGGUGGGGAGUGUUCCGUUAUCACAUAAUAUGUUAGUCUUGUUUUUAUUCUUUAAGUAAUCCUUUGUUUUAUUUGGCCAUGGUCCCUUUAAGAAUCCUGGGUUUCAGUAAGGAGUCAUGUGACCAUUAAUCAGGAAGUAGUCAAUCAUGGCACAGAGAGCAGUAUGUUUAUUGUAUCUGAGCUAAUCCUGUGACAUCUGCAUACAUCUUAUGCCCUUUGUAGCAUCGUGGUUUCACCUUUCCAUUGCAACGUCAAUAAACCUGUGGACAAGGAGUGAACUGUCUUCAGAGUCUUGAUGUUAUGGAAGAGUUUACCUGGCUGUUAGGUUAUAUACAGAACAUAUACUGAGGACAGCACACUGAUUGAUUGGAAAACUAAUGUAAAAAGCUGUUAUCAACACUGAUACCAUCUGUAUGAUGAUGAAUGUUUUUAGUAUGUAACGUUAGUGUUAAACUAAUAAAAAUAAAAGGAUCGUGUAAGACUUCAGACCUCUUUAGGCUCAGUGAAUUCACCCGGACCGUCUUCCUGCCUGUUCGUUUGAUCCUCUGGUAGAACUUCAUCACACCCACCACUUUCCAUUUCUUCAUAGUCAUAAAUAAACAGCGCGAGACCUGCAGUGUUUCUGUUGCAUCUCCGUUGCUAGGAGACGCAACACUUCCGGAUUCGCUCCUCUUUCUAAAUAGGUGGAGUUGUUGUGCUUUCAGCUGGCUUCAGAAACCGCGAAGAAAGUUGAGCUCAAGCUGCGUUGCUCG